Parelaphostrongylus tenuis is the source of this 74-nucleotide non-coding RNA. Lineage: Eukaryota; Metazoa; Nematoda; Chromadorea; Rhabditida; Metastrongylidae. The record is from the annotation of a GenBank genome assembly.
GCCUCGGUGGUGUAGUGGUAAAGCACGCGUUCCCCGGAUAGGAUGAAGCGAGGGUUCGAUUCCCGCCUGAGGCC